GACGAACGCUGGCGGCGUGCUUAACACAUGCAAGUCGAACGGAAAGGCCCUGCUUUUGUGGGGUGCUCGAGUGGCGAACGGGUGAGUAACACGUGAGUAACCUGCCCUUGACUUUGGGAUAACUUCAGGAAACUGGGGCUAAUACCGGAUAGGAGCUCCUGCUGCAUGGUGGGGGUUGGAAAGUUUCGGCGGUUGGGGAUGGACUCGAGGCUUAUCAGCUUGUUGGUGGGGUAGUGGCUUACCAAGGCUUUGACGGGUAGCCGGCCUGAGAGGGUGACCGGCGACAUUGGGACUGAGAUACGGCCCAGACGCCUACGGGAGGCAGCAGUCGGGAAUAUUGCACAAUGGGCGGAAGCCUGAUGCAGCAACGCCGCGUGCGGGAUGACGUCCUUCGGGUUGUAAACCGCUUUCGCCGGUGACGAAGCGUGAGUGACGGUAAUGGGUAAAGAAGCACCGGCUAACUACGUG
Molecule: ribosomal RNA, 468 nt
Filed under: uncultured bacterium
Lineage: Bacteria
Description: partial 16S ribosomal RNA
Rfam family: Bacterial small subunit ribosomal RNA
Source: RNAcentral